AUUGAACGCUGGCGGCAGGCCUAACACAUGCAAGUCGAGCGGUAACACAGGGAGCUUGCUCCUGGGUGACGAGCGGCGGACGGGUGAGUAAUGUCUGGGAAACUGCCUGAUGGAGGGGGAUAACUACUGGAAACGGUAGCUAAUACCGCAUAACGUCGCAAGACCAAAGAGGGGGACCUUCGGGCCUCUUGCCAUCAGAGGUGCCCAGAUGGGAUUAGCUAGUAGGUGGAGUAACGGCUCACCUAGGCGACGAUCUCUAGCUGGUCUGAGAGGAUGACCAGCCACACUGGAACUGAGACACGGUCCAGACUCCUACGGGAGGCAGCAGUGGGGAAUAUUGCACAAUGGGCGCAAGCCUGAUGCAGCCAUGCCGCGUGUAUGAAGAAGGCCUUCGGGUUGUAAAGUACUUUCAGCGGGGAGGAAGGCGAUAAGGUUAAUAACCUUGUCGAUUGACGUUACCCGCAGAAGAAGCACCGGCUAACUCCGUGCCAGCAGCCGCCGUAA
This 504-nucleotide ribosomal RNA is filed under the name uncultured bacterium. RNAcentral describes it as "partial 16S ribosomal RNA". It matches the Rfam family "Bacterial small subunit ribosomal RNA", at positions 30 to 523 of the family's 1533-position model. The record is from RNAcentral.